CGCGUAGGCGGUUUGUUAAGUCAGCUGUGAAAGCCCCGGGCUCAACCUGGGAACUGCAGUUGAUACUGGCCGACUAGAGUACGAGAGAGGGAGGUAGAAUUCCAUGUGUAGCGGUGAAAUGCGUAGAUAUAUGGAGGAAUACCGGUGGCGAAGGCGGCCUCCUGGCUCGAUACUGACGCUGAGGUGCGAAAGCGUGGGAUCAAACA
Molecule: ribosomal RNA, 206 nt
Filed under: uncultured bacterium
Lineage: Bacteria
Description: partial 16S ribosomal RNA
Rfam family: Bacterial small subunit ribosomal RNA
Source: RNAcentral